This 67-nucleotide transfer RNA is filed under the name Folsomia candida. RNAcentral describes it as "tRNA-Asp". Lineage: Eukaryota; Metazoa; Arthropoda; Collembola; Entomobryomorpha; Isotomidae. The record is from RNAcentral.
AAAAAAUUAGUUAACAUUAUUUAUAAUAUAGUUUUGUCAAGACUAAGUGGUUUAAAAACAUUUUUUU